ACACAUGCAAGUCGAACGGUAACAGAAAAAGCUUGCUUUUUGCUGACGAGUGGCGAACGGGUGCGUAACGCGUAUGCAACCUACCUUCUUCUAAGGAAUAGCCCAGAGAAAUUUGGAUUAAUACCUUAUGAUAAUAUUUAUUCGCAUGUUUAAAUAUUUAAAACUCCGGUGGAAGAAGAUGGGCAUGCGUAACAUUAGUUUGUUGGUGAGGUAAUGGCUCACCAAGACUACGAUGUUUAGGGGGUCUGAGAGGAUGAUCCCCCACACUGGUACUGAGACACGGACCAGACUCCUACGGGAGGCAGCAGUGAGGAAUAUUGGUCAAUGGACGAAAGUCUGAACCAGCCAUGCCGCGUGAAGGAUGACGGCCCUACGGGUUGUAAACUUCUUUUGUAUAGGAAGAAACCCCUCUACGUGUAGAGGGUUGACGGUACUAUUCGAAUAAGCACCGGCUAACUCCGUGCCAGCAGCCGCGGUAAUACGGAGGGUGCGAGCGUUAUCCGGAAUUAUUGGGUUUAAAGGGUGCGUAGGCGGAAAUUUAAGUCAGUGGUGAAAGCCUGCAGCUUAACUGUAGAAUUGCCAUUGAUACUGGAUUUCUUGAAUCUAAUAGAAGUAGGCGGAAUAUGACAUGUAGCGGUGAAAUGCUUAGGUAUGUCAUAGAACACCGAUAGCGAAGGCAGCUUACUAUGUUAGUAUUGACGCUAAUGCACGAAAGCGUGGGGAGCGAACAGGAUUAGAUACCCUGGUAGUCCACGCCGUAAACGAUGAUUACUCGCUAUUGGCGAUACACUGUCAGUGGCUAAGCGAAAGUGAUAAGUAAUCCACCUGGGGAGUACGGUCGCAAGGUUGAAAC
Molecule: ribosomal RNA, 853 nt
Filed under: uncultured marine bacterium
Lineage: Bacteria
Description: bacterial SSU rRNA
Rfam family: Bacterial small subunit ribosomal RNA
Source: RNAcentral